GCGGGGAGUGCUCCUGCGCUUUCUCCUUCCUCCUCCGGCGUCCCGCCUCGCCCUCCUCCCGCAGAGGGUACCACCAAUCCGGCUCCCAGCCCGAGAUUAACCCCUUGCCAGGCGCUGAUCUCCAUCGUCAGCCGCGUUCUGGAAAGGCUGGCUCUCGGACUGGGAGGAGCAGGUGCCGCACCAGGAACUGAGGGAACCUGGUGAGAAAUGAGGCUCCUUCCAGCUUCUGCGCAUGUUGGCUGACUUAAGGACUCAUCGGAGUUGGUUGGGUGGUUUUUAUAUUUGUCUUUUGAUCGGAUGAAAUGCAUUUAAAGAAUUACUCCUAUGAAUUUUAAAAAGUAAUUUAAUAGCACAGCUACCAGAGUUUGAACAAUAGAACGUCAGGGCCAAUUGCCCACAGAUCAGGAUGACCGCGCCAAGUUUCUAGGAUGAAAAACCGCCUAAGGAGAGAAGGAAACUAUGGACAAACUCGUGACAGCGGCUAUGUUUCCGUCAAAUUACAGAAGCGUUGAUUGGAAAGGGGCUACGCAGAUGAAAAAGGGAGGGAAGCGCUGACCUGGUGGGGCUUUAAAAGGAACUUCUCAGCUCCGUUCCAUGAGCUUCUUGAGAGUUACUAUUUCUUCUUUAUCCCCAGCUCCUGACGCAUAGAGUCUUGAAGAAUGCGAGGGUCCCAAAGGCAGGAUGCACUUGAUUCUCUGUACCCAUUUUACAGACAAACUCAAACCAAUGUACUUUCUUCAGUGCUGCGUUUCAGAAUACUCACUCGAAAAACCGGAAGUCCUGACUUUGGACUGAGAAUUAAAUGGAAAUGUAGCUCUAUUUAUGGAAGACACAGAAAGGACAUUUGAUCUGCAGUUAGUUAUAUCAGACUGCACCUGUGGCUGACCUCACAGCUUCCCAGCCCAUCUUUUUGUUCGAGCUUUGCUGUGACAAACGACUGCAUACAGGUGUUACCUGUGAGCACCUUGCCUGGGCUGCACCUGGUGUCGUCUUGCCUCUAGUCUUCCCUGUCACAGCAGCCAGGGACCUCUGCGGAAAAUCCCUGCCCAUUCUGACACAUGUGCAUACCUACAAAUUGUCAAAGAACUAACACUUCUUGGGACAAGCUUUGAGGCAGAAACGAGCUGAUGGAGAAAUACUCCCCUCUUCCAUUCUUCUGGUGCGCAGUUCUAAGGCGUAUUCUGCAUAGCUCCUGAGAGGAUAGAGCCCACGGUGGUGCCCAACUUUAUCAGUUCAGUACUGCACCCUUGGUUUGCUUUUGUCUGUUCUUCCUUCCUUGCCUGAUCUUCCCACCCCUCCAUUCCUGUUCCUUGGGCUUUGAUCCCAAAAUAAACUACCUGUAUGAAAA
RNAcentral lists this long non-coding RNA (1348 nucleotides) under Ursus maritimus (polar bear). Its description in RNAcentral is "lncRNA (ENSUMAG00000003039.1)". Lineage: Eukaryota; Metazoa; Chordata; Mammalia; Carnivora; Ursidae. The record is from RNAcentral.